UUUUGUUGUGUACUUUGGUCAAAGGAAGAGAAAGAUGGAGUCCCUUAGAAAAGGAAAAGGAGACUGAUGGGAUUUCGUUUUAAAGGAAGAAGAGUCUGAAGCUAACGUGUAAACCUACGAGAGUUCUGACGAAUCACAAAAGAAAAAGAAUAGCUCAAAGUUCUGGUGGCAUGGGUGCCGUGAAUUCGAAAUAACAACAGCGAUCCUCAAAUACAGAAUUUGAAAGAAAAAGAUACAGAUUACCCAGAAAAGAAAAAGAAAACAAAGUGAACAAGACAAAACCAGACCUGAAUUGAAAAAGCAGAAGAAAGGCAAAAAAGGAAAUACGAAGAACAUGACAACUAGACGCACCAUAUAUGAUAGCUCAUAUGUAUAUGACUAUAUAUGUCAAAAGAAACAGAUAUUUUAUUCUAUAAUACAGGAACUAAUAGAACUCAUUUUCUUUUUUGAUUUGAUUUGUUUUAUACAUGAGUUAUCAUAUUUGUUGUGUCUAUUUUACCUAGCAGUUGAACAACAUAUGGUUUCAACAGCAACAGUACAAUUAUGUUUUAUUCAAAAUAUUGUGCAUGCUUUAAUAUGUAAUUUUCAAGAAUUUAAAUUUUCUGUUUGUGCUGUACUGACAUUAAACAGUUUAUAAUUUA
Long non-coding RNA from Mytilus trossulus (common blue mussel), 641 nucleotides. RefSeq lists it as uncharacterized. The transcript has 4 exons. Lineage: Eukaryota; Metazoa; Mollusca; Bivalvia; Mytilida; Mytilidae. The record is from RefSeq and is a predicted model, not a curated record.